AGAGAGAGAGAGAGAGAACAGACUCUAAGAGGGGCAGAGACCAGAGAGUUUGCUCGGUUAGAGACAGAGAGAGAGAGUGGAGUGAGGUGGUGGUUUGGGAAGGGUGGCGCGUGAUAACAUGCUCCCCUGGUGCUCAGGAUAAGACGAUAAUCAACCCGAUAAUGCUCAGAUUCAGGCCGAUUGCUCCCAAACCAGCAACCGACGGCUGGAAGCCAGAGAACAAGAACGGUUUGGUUACUAGCGUAAGGACGAAGAGAAAGUAUGUUAGGGUUAAGAAGACAAACGAAUACUACAAAAGAAGAAAAAGGAAAUCAUCAGAUCUAGAAAGAGCUGGUAGAGAAGAUGAU
This 347-nucleotide unclassified non-coding RNA is filed under the name Hevea brasiliensis (rubber tree). Lineage: Eukaryota; Viridiplantae; Streptophyta; Magnoliopsida; Malpighiales; Euphorbiaceae. The record is from RNAcentral.